GCCGGCUGUGGCGGCUCGGGGUGCGCCCCUGCUGACAGCGUCUUUCAGCGGGAACGCCCUGGAGAGGACGAGUGGUGACCGAACAGCUACUACGGUGGGACCAAUCCGAUGUCGCCUUGGUUCCCACGCUGUCUUCCUGGGGAGCGUUAGGUCGCCCUGGCAGCGUGUGGCUCCGCGUCUGGGGCUGAGCUGAGUGCGGUUACCCAAGGCCAGGUCCUGGUUUCCGGGAGCCACUCAUUAGAAGCCUAUCCCACCUCUGCCUGUUGACAAUAUAAAUGGCUUUGCUGUGUUGUUCAGGGGUCCUUGAAUUCACCAAGUCGCACAGGCUGCACCUGAUCUGACCCCCUUGCCUCAGCCUCCAGCUGGGAUUAAGUGUGGCUCUGCCUGUUUAUCCCUUAGUCCUGUAGCCCCCAUGUGGUGCCCCAAGCUGCCUGGCCCCUGCAAUACCCCCCCCCCCCCCCCCAA
Molecule: long non-coding RNA, 465 nt
Filed under: Heterocephalus glaber (naked mole-rat)
Lineage: Eukaryota; Metazoa; Chordata; Mammalia; Rodentia; Bathyergidae
Description: lncRNA (ENSHGLG00100044348.1)
Source: RNAcentral